This 85-nucleotide transfer RNA is filed under the name Hypsibius dujardini. It matches the Rfam family "tRNA". Rfam says of the family: Transfer RNA (tRNA) molecules are approximately 80 nucleotides in length. Their secondary structure includes four short double-helical elements and three loops (D, anti-codon, and T loops). The record is from Rfam by way of RNAcentral. Lineage: Eukaryota; Metazoa; Tardigrada; Eutardigrada; Parachela; Hypsibiidae.
GCUACGAUGGCCGAGCGGUCCAAGGCGCCAGACCGAUAAGACUUGUCUUCGGAAGAGGACGUGAGUUCAAAUCUCACUCGCAGUA